Molecule: ribosomal RNA, 1680 nt
Filed under: Eremothecium gossypii ATCC 10895
Lineage: Eukaryota; Fungi; Ascomycota; Saccharomycetes; Saccharomycetales; Saccharomycetaceae
Description: 21S ribosomal RNA
Rfam family: Bacterial large subunit ribosomal RNA
Source: RNAcentral
AGAACUAAAGUUUAAAUAAAUUUGAAAUAUUUAUUAUAAAGAUUUAAAGGGACAAUUAUGGAUAAUAAUAACUAUUAAUAAUAAGGUUACUAAUAAAUAUAUUUUAUAAUAAUAUUUUAAAACCUAAGGUAAACCAUUAUUAUAUAUUUUAAAAAUAUAUAAAUUAUAUUAAACUAAGUGAACUAAAACAUUUAAUUAACUUAAGGAAUAUAAAUCAACAGAGAUAUUGAGAGUAUAGGUGAUAGAAAUCGAUAUAGUCAAUAAGUAUUAUGUUAUUAAUUAAUGUAAGAAUAUAGGAUAACAAAUUCUAAGACUAAAUAUUAUUAAUAAGUUUAAAGAAGUACCGUAAGGGAAAAUUAUUUAAAUAGUUGUUCUAUAAGCAAUUAUAUAUAUUAUAUUAAAUAAUAUAAAUAAUGUACCUUUUGUAUAAUGGGUCAGCAAGUAAUUAAUAUUAGCAUAAUAUUAAAAUAAAAAAUGAUAUUAAAAAUAAUAUAAAUAUUUAACAAUGUUAAAAUUAAUUAAAAUAAAUUAAAUUUAGUUAAUAUUAAUUAACCCGAAAGCAGAUGAUCUUACUAUUAUCAAAUGAUUAAAAUAUAUAUUUAUUAUAUUUAAAAUAUAAUAAAAUAUAAAAACGAUUGAACAGGUUAAUGUAGCAAUAUUAUCUGAUGAAUAAUGGUAAGUAGAGAAAGUCAAAUCUGAUUUGCAAAUAGCUGGUUUUCUACGAAACAUAUGUUAGUAUGAUUAUUUAAAUAUUAGAUAUAUAUGGUAUAGUUAUUAAUAUUAUUUAGGGAAUAAUUAUUUAUUUUAUUAAAAAUAUUAAAUCUCAGAAUAUAUUAUUAAUCUAAAAUUAAAUAUUUCAGAUUAUUAGCGAUAAGGUUAAUAAUCAAAAGGGAAACAGCCCAGACUAAUAGAUAAAGUUCCUAAUUCUUAAUUAAGUGAAAUUAAUAUUUAAUAAAUAUAUAACAAUUAGUUGAUGGUUUUGAUAAUAAUCAUUCUUUAAUGAACAUGUAACAAUGCACUAAUUAUUUUUUAUAAAAAAUAUUUAUUUAAAUCAUUAUUUUUAAUUAAAUAAUGUAAAUAAAAAAUACACGGAUCUAAAUUAAUAACUGAAUCUUUAGAUUAUUAUUAUUAAUUAAUAAAAUAAUAAUAAUGGUAGUAGAACAUUUAAUGAUAUAAAAUAUAAUUAUUAUUCAAUUAUAUUAUUUAAAAAGAAUUAAAUAGAGAAUGCUGACAUGAGUAACGAAAAUAAGGUAUAAUCCUUAUCACCUAAAGCAUAAGGUUUAACAAUAAAAGCGGUUCUUAAGUAAUAUAUUAAAAAAUAUAAUAUGAUAGAAAUAAUCUAAUAUAUAAAUUAACUUAAAUAAUGUCUUUAUAAAUUUAUUAAGUUCAAGAAAUAUUUAUGUAUAAAAUACCGUAAUGUAGACCGACUCAGGUAUGUUAGUAGAGUAUAUGAAGGUGAAUUAGAUAAUUAAAGGAAAGGAACUCGGCAAAAAUAGCUCUGACGUUAGUCAAUAAAGAGAUAUUAAUUAAAAUAAUAAUUAAUAAUAAGAACAAAGUUGUACAACUGUUUACUAAAAACACAACACUUUGCAGAAACGUAAGUUAAAGUAUAAAGUGUGAACUCUGCUCCAUGAUAAAAUAUAAAAAUUAAUAUUUUAAUAAAGAUAAUAAUAAUAAAUU